UACCCGUACCGUAGUCGUACUUUUACUUUACGAGAUAGAAGUAACUUCGUGGUCAUCGGUGACAGGUGGCGCAUGGUUGUCGUCAGCUCGUGUCGUGAGAUGUUGGGUUAAGUCCCGCAACGAGCGCAACCCCUAUUGUUAGUUGCCAUCAUUCAGUUGGGCACUCUAGCGAGACUGCCGGUAAUAAACCGGAGGAAGGUGGGGAUGACGUCAAAUCAUCAUGCCCCUUAUGACCUGGGCUACACACGUGCUACAAUGGUUGGUACAACGAGUUGCGAGUCGGUGACGGCGAGCUAAUCUCUUAAAGCCAAUCUCAGUUCGGAUUGUAGGCUGCAACUCGCCUACAUGAAGUCGGAAUCGCUAGUAAUCGCGGAUCAGCACGCCGCGGUGAAUACGUUCCCGGGCCUU
Molecule: ribosomal RNA, 408 nt
Filed under: uncultured Streptococcus sp.
Lineage: Bacteria; Bacillati; Bacillota; Bacilli; Lactobacillales; Streptococcaceae
Description: bacterial SSU rRNA
Rfam family: Bacterial small subunit ribosomal RNA
Source: RNAcentral